CCUCAUCACCAACAGCAUUCUAGGGCAGAAAGAGACUUCGCCGCCUUCUUGAACUCGCUUGCACUGCGAGAAGUGGACUAGCAAAAUGGGCUUAAAAGGAGCUCAUCCUGCCUGAAUAAGAUAUACACAGUUUCCCUGUGCGUCUAGAUAGGUAGAGCCCACUCCGGCCGUGGUACAAAAGAUAGAACCGCAGCACCAGCACCAGCACCAUUUUGAUUGAGAAAGCCACGUAGCCUUCAGGGGGACGCCAGCCUAUGCCAGGAGUCCUCAGAAGCUAUUGCUGGCAACAUGUGUUUAGUAGAUGUUGACUUCUUCCUUUGAGAAAGGAAAAAGAAAAAAUCUCCAGAGAACAACUAACAGUCAAUCCCAUGAGGUCGCUGGCGUCCAGUACCUUACCUUGUGCAACAGGUCUCAGAAGGUUAUCGACAGAUAGCAGCAACUCACUGACGAUCUAAAGACGUCAGCUAUUCGGAGCGUUGCUGAUGUGGCCAGUUGUUAGACUUGGGCUCCAAUGGAAUCAAACCUCAUUUCUCCCUAUCGCUGGAGGGUUGCCCGUGCAGGACGCACGACUAAGGAUGGGAAGGCAUUAAUUGCACGGUGAGUGCUGCGGCUCCCUGACUUUUGUUUGUCCUACACAUUUUUCUGUUUCUGUUGUUUGAAGCGAAUACUUGCGGACAGAGAGGGUGAUCUGAAAAAAUACGUAUGAUUUGAGUUAAUCACUUUUUGAGCUGUCAAUUUAUUGGCUGACCGGCGCCACUCUUUUUUUCCAGUUUGGCAUUUCGUCUUCUGUUUGUCAUUAUUCCCCAGAGUAUGCUUUUUUUUGGGGGAAUCAAUCAUCUGGACCCGGGCCUAUUUCAUCUCCUCGUCCACUUGAACGCAAC
Molecule: small RNA, 881 nt
Filed under: Histoplasma capsulatum
Lineage: Eukaryota; Fungi; Ascomycota; Eurotiomycetes; Onygenales; Ajellomycetaceae
Also listed under: 1 other name
Description: hypothetical RNA
Source: RNAcentral